GAGUUUGAUCCUGGCUCAGAACGAACGCUGGCGGCAUGCCUAACACAUGCAAGUCGAACGAAGGCUUCGGCCUUAGUGGCGCACGGGUGAGUAACGCGUGGGAAUCUGCCUAUCAGUGGGGAAUAACGACGGGAAACUGUCGCUAAUACCGCAUACGCCCUUCGGGGGAAAGAUUUAUCGCUGAUAGAUGAGCCCGCGUACGAUUAGCUAGUUGGUGAGGUAAUGGCUCACCAAGGCUACGAUCGUUAGCUGGUCUGAGAGGAUGAUCAGCCACACUGGGACUGAGACACGGCCCAGACUCCUACGGGAGGCAGCAGUGGGGAAUAUUGGACAAUGGGCGAAAGCCUGAUCCAGCAAUGCCGCGUGAGUGAUGAAGGCCUUAGGGUUGUAAAGCUCUUUCGGGUGGGACGAUGAUGACGGUACCACCAGAAGAAGCCCCGGCUAACUUCGUGCCAGCAGCCGCGGUAAUACG
This 472-nucleotide ribosomal RNA is filed under the name uncultured eubacterium WR8142. RNAcentral describes it as "bacterial SSU rRNA". It matches the Rfam family "Bacterial small subunit ribosomal RNA", at positions 9 to 527 of the family's 1533-position model. The record is from RNAcentral.